Ictalurus punctatus (channel catfish) is the source of this 1264-nucleotide long non-coding RNA. RefSeq lists it as uncharacterized. The record is from RefSeq and is a predicted model, not a curated record. Lineage: Eukaryota; Metazoa; Chordata; Actinopteri; Siluriformes; Ictaluridae. The transcript has 2 exons.
GUUUAUUCAACUCUGUGUAAACUUACCCAGCCGUUUCCAUGCAGCAUGCUCAAAAGUCUCCAAGGAGGCCUCUGGACAGUCCAGGGAGGUGUGGCAUGGUGUCAGGGGACACAAUUGGAGAUGUGGUGGACUGCAGCAGCUUCUGGAGUGCCUGUUAGCUCCUGGCUGCUCCUGCACGAGGGCUUCAAAGCACAACUGCAGCUCAUUGCACAGAUCAAGAAGCACUUGGUGGAUUCGAUGGGUGGUGAAGGACUUUAUGAUCUUGCUGAGUGGGGAGGCUUCCAUGGUGGCAUCUGAGUCUUCCAGCAUCGAGGGUUUCGACACCACUGUAGAACCCCAGUAUGAGUAAAAAUUUUAGCAGAACUCUUGGAUCACUAACUAGGUUCACACACUAUGGCAUGACUGCAUGUGUGUUUGUGCGUGCACACUGCAGGCUUUGUCAAACCAACAUACUAGUAAGUUGAUUGAAAGAAAAGAAUGUUGGCAUUGUUGGAUAACAGUCAUGACAAAUUAUGCAGGCAAUCAGUGUGUUGCUUCCAUACACUAAAUUAAAAUAAUAGAAAUCAGGUGAAAAUAGUUUUGCAUUGCUUGAUAUCUUACUGGGGUGGCCAGAGUGGUGGCCAUGCUUCAUGAUAGGUUGACACCCCUUAGCUACACACCUGAUCCUAUGGUGUCUCACAGCCACAUUCAGCUCUAAUGCAAGUUUAUAGUCAAAACACAUCUGCUCUAAGAAAACAUUUUUGAUUGUUACAGUUGUUAUGGCAAAACCUAACUACACAAACAAUACUGGUUUUUCACAAAUCCAUAGCUAUUAACAUUAAUGAGACGUUGUAUGGCAGUGUCGAUAGAUGCUGUGAUGAAUACAAGCUAGCCAACUAAAAUAACUCUUAACUGACACCGAGUGCUUUGUGUGAGACCCCAACCCAUGUCCCUAACCUGAUCCACAACGUCCAUGUGCAACAUUUUUGCGCGUGCAUACAUUUGAUUCUGAUUACAUUUGAUUUGAAAUGCACUUGUAUGGAAUUUCACAACAUUAGUAUACGUUUCAAUUUCAAAACAAAUACCAUAAUUUUGCAUGUCAGAAUGUAUUAGAAAGAUGAAAGUUGCAAAAAAUAUCUUGCAGAGGGAGAGUUUGUCCCAUAAUGCUGUAACAAGAGUAUAUGGAGAGACACCUGAUACCUGUCUGUGCUUGUCACUGUAUAUUAACAAGCUUGCGUUAAUAUUAUGGUGCGCUCCUUGUGUUAUAAAAUUCUUGCAAAUUUUA